GAUGAACGCUGGCGGCGUGCCUAAUACAUGCAAGUCGAGCGAACAGACGAGGAGCUUGCUCCUCUGAUGUUAGCGGCGGACGGGUGAGUAACACGUGGAUAACCUACUUAUAAGACUGGGAUAACUUCGGGAGACCGGAGCUAAUACUGCAUAACAUGUUGUACCGCAUGGUUCAACAGUGAAAGACGGUCUUGCUGUCACUUAUAGAUGGAUCCGCGCCGCAUUAGCUAGUUGGUAAGGUAACGGCUUACCAAGGCAACGAUGCGUAGCCGACCUGAGAGGGUGAUCGGCCACACUGGAACUGAGACACGGUCCAGACUCCUACGGGAGGCAGCAGUAGGGAAUCUUCCGCAAAGGGCGAAAGCCUGACGGAGCAACGCCGCGUGAGUGAAGAAGGUCUUCGGAUCGUAAAACUCUGUUAUUAGGGAAGAACAAAUGUGUAAGUAACUAUGCACGUCUUGACGGUACCUAAUCAGAAAGCCACGGCUAACUACGUG
This 497-nucleotide ribosomal RNA is filed under the name uncultured bacterium. Its description in RNAcentral is "partial 16S ribosomal RNA". It matches the Rfam family "Bacterial small subunit ribosomal RNA", at positions 28 to 507 of the family's 1533-position model. The record is from RNAcentral.